GACGUAGGGCGCGAGCGUUGUCCGGAUUUAUUGGGCGUAAAGAGCUCGUAGGCGGCUCGUCGCGUCGACCGUGAAAACAGGCAGCUCAACUGUGUGCUUGCGGUCGUACGGGCGGGCUAGAGUUCGGUAGGGGAGACUGGAAUUCCUGGUGUAGCGGUGAAAUGCGCAGAUAUCAGGAGGAACACCGGUGGCGAAGGCGGGGUCUCUGGGGCCCGAUACUGACUGGAGGGAGCGAAAAGCGUGGGGAGCGAACAGG
Molecule: ribosomal RNA, 256 nt
Filed under: uncultured bacterium
Lineage: Bacteria
Description: partial 16S ribosomal RNA
Rfam family: Bacterial small subunit ribosomal RNA
Source: RNAcentral